RNAcentral lists this non-coding RNA (30 nucleotides) under Mus musculus (house mouse). Lineage: Eukaryota; Metazoa; Chordata; Mammalia; Rodentia; Muridae. The record is from RNAcentral.
UCCACUCCCCACAUCAGUGUGAAGAGCCUG